This 774-nucleotide ribosomal RNA is filed under the name uncultured Neocallimastigales. RNAcentral describes it as "partial large subunit ribosomal RNA". It matches the Rfam family "Eukaryotic large subunit ribosomal RNA", at positions 22 to 645 of the family's 3401-position model. The record is from RNAcentral. Lineage: Eukaryota; Fungi; Neocallimastigomycota; Neocallimastigomycetes; Neocallimastigales.
AGAGAGAGACAUGCGCUGCAUAUCAAUAAGCGGAGGAAAAGAAACUAACAAGGAUUCCCUUAGUAACGGCGAGUGAAGCGGGAAGAGCUCAAAUUUGAAAUCUUCAAGGUUUUACCUUGACGAAUUGUAGUUUAAAGAAGUGUUUUCUGCUGAAGUUUUGGUAAAAGUUCUUUGGAAUAGGACAUCAUAGAGGGUGAGAAUCCCGUAUUUGACCAUUAUUUUCAGCUUUGUGAUACACUUUCAAAGAGUCGGAUUGUUUGGGAAUGCAGUCCAAAAUGGGUGGUAAAUUUCAUCUAAAGCUAAAUAUUGGCGAGAGACCGAUAGCGAACAAGUACCGUGAGGGAAAGAUGAAAGAACUUUGAAAAGAGAGUUAAACAGUACGUGAAAUUGUCAAAAGGGAAGCGUUUGACACCAGUGUUGUUUUCUCGAAAAUCAAUUAAAAAUGGCUCGAUUUUGUAUUGCUGAGACCUUAAAAGCUCACUGUACAUUUUUCGUGUCUUUUUUAAUGCACUUUUCGUUUAACAAGUCAACAUCAGUUUCUUUUGUUGUAAAAGGGUCAUUGGAAGGUGGCUUUCUUUUCGGAGAAAGUGUUUAUAGCCUUUGGCCUCUGCAAUCGGAGAGACUGAGGUCUGCAGCGUAGACUCUUCGGGGUUAGAUACAUUUGUGCUAAGUUAUAGCUUUUUAUAGACAACUUGUUGACUAUAAUUAGUCUUGUAGCUUACUCGCUUACGCUAUUUUACCUACGCUUAGGAUGUUGAAGUCAUCGUAUCGCGC